AUUGACCUACGGGGGGCAGCAGUGGGGGAUAUUGGACAAUGGGGGAAACCCUGAUCCAGCGAUGCCGCGUGAGGGAAGAAGGUUUUCGGAUUGUAAACCUCUGUGGAGGGGGACGAUAAUGACGGUACCCCUUUAGGAAGCCACGGCUAACUACGUGCCAGCAGCCGCGGUAAUACGUAGGGGGCAAGCGUUAUCCGGAUUUACUGGGUGUAAAGGGAGCGUAGACGGCAAUACAAGUCGGAAGUGAAAUACCCGGGCUCAACCUGGGAACUGCUUUGGAAACUGUAUGGCUGGAGUGCUGGAGA
Molecule: ribosomal RNA, 305 nt
Filed under: uncultured bacterium
Lineage: Bacteria
Description: bacterial SSU rRNA
Rfam family: Bacterial small subunit ribosomal RNA
Source: RNAcentral